RNAcentral lists this ribosomal RNA (289 nucleotides) under uncultured bacterium. Its description in RNAcentral is "partial 16S ribosomal RNA". It matches the Rfam family "Bacterial small subunit ribosomal RNA", at positions 29 to 289 of the family's 1533-position model. The record is from RNAcentral.
AUGAACGCUGGCGGCGUGGAUAAGGCAUGCAAGUCGAACGGUUUUCUUUAUUGAAGAAGAUGCGAUUACAUCAAAUUAACAGAUAUUUUGAAAACAGUGGCGAACGAGCUAGUAACACCUUGGUACGUACCCGAAAGUUUGGUAUAGCUCGCCGAAAGGCGGGGUAAUCCCAAAUAGUCCCUUCAUCUAUCGGAUGAUAGGGUAAAGUAGCACUACGCUUUCGGAUCGGCCUAGGUCCGAUCAGUUAGUUGGUGAGGUAAUGGCUCACCAAGACAAUGACCGGUAGGGG